RNAcentral lists this unclassified non-coding RNA (293 nucleotides) under fungal sp. Its description in RNAcentral is "partial internal transcribed spacer region". The stretch from base 1 to 46 matches the Rfam family "Eukaryotic small subunit ribosomal RNA", at positions 1786 to 1831 of the family's 1831-position model. The record is from RNAcentral. Lineage: Eukaryota; Fungi.
AAGUCGUAACAAGGUAUCCGUAGGUGAACCUGCGGAUGGAUCAUUAUCAACGUAUCCACGUAUCAACCAUUGUGAACUGUUCUACCUUUAGAAAGAAAGUGGUGAUAAGAAGAGAUUUUGGGUAAUACCAAGUUUCUUUAUCUUUCUAAAGUGUAUUUUUCUUAUCAUCAUCUUUAUUAACCAUUUUAACCAAAUUUUUUAACUUUUGAACUGAUCUAUUUCUUACUCUUCGGAGAAGAAAUUCGAUUUACGAAACAUAAGAACAACUCUUAGCAACGGAUAUCUUGGUUCUC